CGCAAGAACAGCGCUCUUUGGGCAGACGCGAACCCCGCUCUCCAUGGCGACGGAAUUGGACCGUUAGCAACCACAACACCACCACUUCCACCCUGACGACGGUCUGUGAGGCCCAAUACAAGAACGUUUCACGGCCUAAAAUAUAAACCAUUUUGUGUUUCGAUCUCCGAAAUUCGAGAGAAACAUAUCAUCACUUCUUUAACCGCUGUCACACACGCGUGUACACGCGCGUGUGUGAGUGAGUGUGUGCGUGUAUGUGGCUCUGUGGCUGUUUUCACGACGAGCUACGACGGUGCCCCGAUCUGCUACCACUCAUUGUCUGAGUCCGAUACAGCCAAAGACGGGAAGGAAAACUGAUAAGAGAGACGACUCGGAUUCUUCCAACAUCAGAGUAUCCCACAACUCUCGCGAACAUUCUUCUCAACAACCUCUGAGACGAGAGACGAGAGAGAUUGAAAGUUGACCCUAUUGGACGCACCCACCACCACACCUCAUCACCUCCCAUCUCAUAGCGAGAGAGAGAGAGAGAGAGAGAGAGAGAGAGAGAGAGAGAGAGAGAGAGAGAGAGAGAGAGAGGAGCAGCAUCACCUCCUCUCCUCUCCUGCGAGGUCUUUCUCCUCCUCCUCCACCUCCUCCUCCUCACCCUUCUCCUCCCUCCCCUCCUCCCCAUUCAUUCCCCCUCCCCAUUUUCCUCUCGUCAUCAUGGGGAACGGUUCCUCUUUCGAGCACGCCAGGACCAUCUAUCUGGACAUCAAUGGAAAAGAAGAAAA
Aplysia californica (California sea hare) is the source of this 770-nucleotide long non-coding RNA. RefSeq lists it as uncharacterized. NCBI's taxonomy places the organism in Eukaryota, Metazoa, Mollusca, Gastropoda, Aplysiida, Aplysiidae. The transcript has 2 exons. The record is from RefSeq and is a predicted model, not a curated record.